UAAACAUUCAUAUGGUACCAGAGUCAUUGUAAGCCCUUUUUUUUUUGCUAAAUAUGUUCCUAAUUGACACUUGAAUCAAGUAAAGCUUCAUGGAAUAAUCAACACUUUCAUAAUCACAAAGUUAUAUUCUUAAUUGACACUUUCAUCAACCGAAAUCUGAUAAUGUGAAUUAGCGAUGCCAUUCACACCGAGAGCUCAUCUGGUGUUCUAAUGCCUGAAACAAUGUUAGAAAUUAAAUGUUCUAAGUACAACGAAAGUUAUAGAAAUUCCCCUACUGAACGUUCAUGGGUUUCUAGACAUUACAUUUCUCACCCUAUCUUUCCGACUUUUUUGAAGAUGAACCUUAGCAACACAAAUACUUGCAGAGCAUAGACCACAUAUAUAUAACAACCACAACAUGAACAUCAACACACCGAAAGUAAUAAUGAAUCAAGAGGAUUAAGCACAUACCCAAACGUAUAUCAAGUUGUGGUUCAUUUAUGAGAAAUAUACGCAACUCAAUAUACUCAAGCAAAAGUAACUAAAUUAAUCCAAAUUUUUAUAAUUAAAAUUAGAUGUCUAAUUAAGAAAAUGCAUAUAAUUAUUUAAACAAAUGAAAAGGGAAUGUUAAUAAUUUAUUAUGGUUUUUUUGUAAAUAUUGUGCUUAGCCUAUGACAACCAGAAACAUAAAGUUGAAAUAUUCUUUGAGCAGAACUUUAUCUAGGAUCCACAUUUCUGACAUGAUAAUCCCGUUAAAAAAACUUAGUGAGACGUGGAUUGCUUGGAAAGUCUUGCAUCAAGCAGUUAUCAAUGAUACUUACACAGCCUCCCAGAUUCCGGAUUGAAGACUACCUUUAGUGUGUUGCGUUAACUUGAGAAGAGAAUCAUCAGCUACUCCAGAGCUGCUCUUGGGAAAUGGUAGUUGGAUUAUGAAACCAAUUCAAUCUCUCUAAAAUCAUCUGGUUCGAAACACCAACUGGUUUAUCAGACUCUAAAUCCAUCUGAUUAAGUCGGUCUAACUUUCAUACAAAAUGGGUCCCCAGGCAAAGUGACUUGCUGUUGCAACGUUGUAUAGCCUAUCUAUCUAUCUAUAUAUAUAAAAUCAUGUUUACUCUCUCCCGGUGCAGCCACAUAGGAUGCCACGUCAGAAACUCGGUUCCCGUACGCGCGACACGUGUCCCUGUAUUAUGAAACUCAUCGUUUCAUUUAUUCUGAAGUUUAAUGGACUUUCACGAGAGUCUUUGUUUUCGGUUAAUUGGACUGAAGAGAUAAGCAAAAGCUUAGCCCAUUUUUAUCGUCACCUUCCUCAAGAUGUCGGCACUAGAUUUCUAGGGUUCUUUGUGUGUUUUGAUUUUCAUUCAUCUCCGACAAUGGAGGGAGAUUCUAGAGAGUAAUUUGCGAUGAAUCGUCAUGUAAAUUCCUUGGAGCGAGAUGUUUCAGUGUCGUUUCGUCUCAUGUUCUUCUCCAGGGAAGCGUUACAGGCUGAAUUAAUUCAAUGCCAUUAAAGAGGUUCUUAAUUCCUUGACCCAUUUCAACCACAAUCUCUCAUUCAUUUCAUCUUCCUCUCUUCCAAGCGGUGCAUUUACAGCUAUAAAAAGAAUGGCGAAUGCAUCUCUCUCAAAAAAAAAAAACGAGGAUGAUACAGAGGAGUAAUCUGGGGUUAAGAGCGACGGUGAUAAAGAAAUUUUUGAUCUGAGACCUGAGCCAACUCUGAAGAAUCUAAAGAGGGUUAAUCAGAGCAUUAAGAGAUUGGGGCGGACCAGUAAAAAAAUGCAAAAAAGUCAAUGGAAAAUCCUCUAUACUUAGAUGAGAUCAUCAUCAUCAUCAUGUUCAAUAUCUCUAGAAGGGUAUUGUGAAACAUCCUUUCAAUGAGAAGUUAUUGCUAGCUGCUACAAGGAAGCUUGAAGAAACAUUAGCGAGGUUUGAACUCAUCUUCACUCUAAUUACAUGCAUUACAUAUGGUCAAAACUGCAUAUCUCCAGGAAAACUAUAAUUAUUUAUGUAAGAUAAACUCUUGGAUCCGUAUAAUGUUGUUUUUGUUAGUUAUCAAGAUUUCUCUAGCCUCCAGUUUUAAUGUUACUGUCUUCAGGUAAGUAAAAUUGAAAUUUGUUAUGUUUGAAGUAUUCAAUAUAGAAUCAAUCUCCCAGAAUGAAAAAUCUGAAUCUAUUUCUAUUUUCUACUACAACUUACGAGACAAACACCUUACUUGGGAGUGAGUAGCCAAUAACCUAAUCACCCAACAUAAUUAUUAACUCUGACGCUAUUAGGCAACCCAUUGUCUUUGCUUUGCUUUGGUAAGUCUAAUCUGACUUGCUUUGUGUGUGUUAAUAAUUUCUAAGCUGGUUAAACAAUAUUUGAAGAUAUUAUCAUGAAUUCUUUCAGGUACCAGUUGAUAAGAGUACCUUCUAGAGGCUUCCGUAAACUACAAAUUUGUAGAUUUGUUUGAAGUUGUUAGGAAGGUUGUGUUUGUUGAUUCAGUGAGCGACUAGGACAAGAUUUCAGAAAACCACACCAACAAGAUGUGACUCACCGAGAAACUCUAUGAAACACACUCAUUCCAUCUUUGAGCACAUGGCCUUCCUCUUAACACUCACCAAUUACAAUCUUUUGGAAGAGAAAUCCCGAGUUCCAUUGACAUGCUGUGAAUAGUUCCAAGACUUCCUCUCUCAAAUUAGUUUGGAGUUCUGAAAUAAAGUUAGGAGAGAACAAACAUUUGAUUAGUGAAUCGUCACCUAACCAAGUUUCUUUUCAAAUCAAUGUUCACAUUAAAAAUAUCUAAUGUAAAUGGUGACCACUUUCGGGUGUAUAUAUUAUUUCACAUUUAUGUUAAUUGAUUAGAAUUCAGUUUGGAGCGUUCAUC
Long non-coding RNA from Brassica napus (rape), 2839 nucleotides. RefSeq lists it as uncharacterized. Lineage: Eukaryota; Viridiplantae; Streptophyta; Magnoliopsida; Brassicales; Brassicaceae. The transcript has 4 exons. The record is from RefSeq and is a predicted model, not a curated record.